Molecule: ribosomal RNA, 444 nt
Filed under: uncultured bacterium
Lineage: Bacteria
Description: partial 16S ribosomal RNA
Rfam family: Bacterial small subunit ribosomal RNA
Source: RNAcentral
GUGAGGAAUAUUGCGCAAUGGAGGCAACUCUGACGCAGCCAUGCCGCGUGCAGGAAGAAGGCGCUACGCGUUGUAAACUGCUUUUAACCGGGAAGAAACCCCAGGACGUGUCCUGGGUUGACGGUACCGGAGGAAUAAGCACCGGCUAACUUCGUGCCAGCAGCCGCGGUAAUACGAAGGGUGCAAGCGUUAUCCGGAUUCAUUGGGUUUAAAGGGUGCGUAGGCGGAGCGUUAAGUCAGUGGUGAAAUCCUGCAGCUUAACUGUAGACUUGCCAUUGAUACUGGCGCUUUGAGUGCGCUUGAAGUGGGCGGAAUGUGCCGUGUAGCGGUGAAAUGCUUAGAUAUGGCACAGAACACCAAUUGCGAAGGCAGCUCACUAAGGCGAUACUGACGCUGAGGCACGAAAGCGUGGGGAUCGAACAGGAUUAGAUACCCGAGUAGUCC